AGAUGGUGACCGGCGCACGGGUGAGUAACACGUAUCCAACCUGCCGAUAACUCGGGGAUAGCCUUUCGAAAGAAAGAUUAAUACCCGAUGGUAUAAUCAGACCGCACGGUCUUGCUAUUAAAGAAUUUCGGUUAUCGAUGGGGAUGCGUUCCAUUAGGCAGUUGGUGAGGUAACGGCUCACCAAACCUUCGAUGGAUAGGGGUUCUGAGAGGAAGGUCCCCCACAUUGGAACUGAGACACGGUCCAA
This 247-nucleotide ribosomal RNA is filed under the name uncultured bacterium. Its description in RNAcentral is "partial 16S ribosomal RNA". It matches the Rfam family "Bacterial small subunit ribosomal RNA", at positions 86 to 334 of the family's 1533-position model. The record is from RNAcentral.